This 261-nucleotide ribosomal RNA is filed under the name Escherichia coli. RNAcentral describes it as "partial 16S ribosomal RNA". It matches the Rfam family "Bacterial small subunit ribosomal RNA", at positions 1 to 256 of the family's 1533-position model. Lineage: Bacteria; Pseudomonadati; Pseudomonadota; Gammaproteobacteria; Enterobacterales; Enterobacteriaceae. The record is from RNAcentral.
UUAAAUUGAAGAGUUUGAUCAUGGCUCAGAUUGAACGCUGGCGGCAGGCCUAACACAUGCAAGUCGAACGGUAACAGGAAGAAGCUUGCUUCUUUGCUGACGAGUGGCGGACGGGUGAGUAAUGUCUGGGAAACUGCCUGAUGGAGGGGGAUAACUACUGGAAACGGUAGCUAAUACCGCAUAACGUCGCAAGACCAAAGAGGGGGACCUUCGGGCCUCUUGCCAUCGGAUGUGCCCAGAUGGGAUUAGCUAGUAGGUGGG